This 77-nucleotide transfer RNA is filed under the name Chloroflexota bacterium. RNAcentral's name for it is "Chloroflexi bacterium tRNA-Lys". It matches the Rfam family "tRNA". Rfam says of the family: Transfer RNA (tRNA) molecules are approximately 80 nucleotides in length. Their secondary structure includes four short double-helical elements and three loops (D, anti-codon, and T loops). Further hydrogen bonds mediate the characteristic L-shaped molecular structure. tRNAs have two regions of fundamental functional importance: the anti-codon, which is responsible for specific mRNA codon recognition, and the 3' end, to which the tRNAs corresponding amino acid is attached (by aminoacyl-tRNA synthetases). tRNAs cope with the degeneracy of the genetic code in two manners: having more than one tRNA (with a specific anti-codon) for a particular amino acid; and 'wobble' base-pairing, i.e. permitting non-standard base-pairing at the 3rd anti-codon position. The record is from RNAcentral. Lineage: Bacteria; Bacillati; Chloroflexota.
GGGCCGGUGACGCAACCGGGUAGCGUAGCGGCCUUUUAAGCCGCAAGUUGCAGGUUCGAGUCCUGUCCGGCCCACCU